CGCUUCCUGCCACCCUGGAGAGACAGAAAAACUGAGAUCGGAGGGUUCUUUGAAGUAUAACUCCCGUUCAGUGCUACCCAGCACGCGACCCCUCACUGCCUUCCAAAGACUUCGUGCAUCUCAGGAAUCCAGAGAGCCCAUCUGGUGACAGCGGACCCUCGGGUACAAGAAGCGGAGUAUACGCGGGCGGAACUGGAACCCGACGGGAGGGCAGGGGAGGGCGUGCAGGACUCAGUACAGCCUGGAGCAGCAGACAAGCUCCCUCAUCCCACCCUCGGCUCCCCGGGGCACAGGAAGAGCACACUUGGUUGGUUGUCAGCCGCUGAGAUCUCACCAUCUGUGCCACACACGGCAGCAACAAUGGCUGCUGUGAAGUGGGUCAAGAAGUCUGGCGCUCAACUGGACGCUGGUGGCACGAGAGACUAGAGGAUGUCACCAACCCCGCCUGACCACAUUUCCCCUGACUACAGCUAUAUGUAAGAGGUAGAGAGAGAGAUCGAAAGAUAACCAGUGUCAACAUCUGGCCACGUCUGAGCGGGAACCCCGGCACACACAUUUCUCCAGGCAAGUGCACGUGGAGGGAAAAACAAAAAUCCCGGCACCCGAAAAUAUUCUAAUCAGUGUCCCGACUCAGUCCUGGGUCCGAGGAAAUCAAACCAAAGCAGCAUCUUGUUCAUAGACUAAUGAUUGGGGCACGCUUCCUACCGCAGGCACCGACGCAGCUCACCGGAGAGUGGGCUGAGGAAAGUCAACUGUCAAGCGUUCCUUAGUUUUACUAUCUGUGGGGAAAUACGUGCGACUGAAACAUGACAGACAUGGACUCUACCUCUUGGCUCUAGGACACCGAGUACUGCCUGUACCCAAAGGCCGAUGUACUACUACCCAGCUGGCUACGUGCCCUACUACCCAUGGCCUCCCAGGGCCCAGCUUCCUGCUGCUGCCUUUCUCCUGGCUGCACUUGCCUCACUCCCAGUAGGGCAGGGAGGAGCUCUGGAUCUGUCCCACCCCAGGCCUUUCACCCAUGCACCACAGAACGGAAAGAAAAAAAUCAUCUUUAUUGAGGUGCAAUUCACGGGCAAGAAACACACGGUCACGUGAUUGAGGCUGCUGCACCCGAGGACAUUCUGCCUGUCGUGAGUGUUCCCAUUUCCCAUUUAACCCAAGAGUCCAGUCCUCCCCAGUGUCCUCUGCUAGUCAGAGGCUUGCUGCCGGAACAGAGUCUUGCCACUGGACAGGGCACACAGGAAGGACCCGGGCAUCCUACCAACAGCACCAGGAUUCUGAAGAGUCGCCCAGAGCUCCAGUCACCACAGAGGUCAUGGGAUUGUCCUGCUGCACAUCUGGGUUGCUGCUAGACGUGAGCAGUUCCGAAUAAAAAUGCAAGAGGGUUGUAGGGACAUGUUUUGCUUCUCCCCAGAAGGGACUGUGUGGGGGAGACAGGGAGUUAGCACAGUUGACUUUGCAAAGCAGAUGUACCACUUGCCACCCCGUGUCGUCGCCGGCACUUAGCGCUGUCUGGUUUUAAGCAUUAGCCUCUCUUGAAGGCAUGCCGUGGUCCCCCCACUGAUUGGUGAGGGACGAUCGUGAUAUUAGUCACACUUUCGCAUGCUCAGGGCUCAUCUGUUCAGAUCGUGCACAUUUUACUUUUAUUACACUUGCCCGGCGUGUGCACGUGCUUGCCACCACACGCAUGUGUAGGUCAGCAGACAAUGUACAGGAGUCGGUGCCUCUACUUGGGUCCCAGGAAUCUAGUGCAACUUGACAAGCGUGCUAACGGUUGUCUUUUUUCCCAAUGCUGGCCCAGAUCUUUCGAUCUUAAUUUAAAAACUUAGUCUUUAAGCUACGAGGGUUUUUAGGUAUUCUGAAUACAUACCCUAUAUGGAUAUUUUCUCCGAGGUGUGUCUUGCUUUGUUGAUCAUUUAAUGGUAUCUUUUGAUGCUCAGACUGAUAAUUGUAUCUUUUGGAGACUUUGCUCCCUGGAUCCUUAAUGCCUGCCUAAAGGAAGGACUCUUACCCUUGGCAUCCUAUCUGGGCAGAUGUGGUCUCCUUUCUAACCCCAGAACUUAGGACAACGGCUUGGAUGUUGAAUGUCCCCUGAAGGCCCACAUGUUGAAGGCUUUAUUCCCGGUGUGAUAUUACAGAAAGAUGAUGGUACUUUUCUUUCCUCUGUGUAGCCCUGACUAUCCUGUAACUCACUUGGUAGACCAGGCUGGCCUCGAACACACAGACAUCCACCUGCCUCUGCCUCUGUAAGUGCUGGUAUGUUCCACCAUACAUACCUAGCUGUUGAUGGUACGUAUAAAGGAAAGGACCUAGUGGGAAGUCUUUAGGUUACCAAGUGCACAACCUUGACCUUGAAGGGGAUCCAGCAAUUUCCUGUUUCCUUUGGUUACUGGCUGUGACGUGAGCGGCUGUGUUGUUUUCCCAGCUCCUGCCAUGGCCCUCUGCCUCACUACAGAACCAAAGCAAUAAGGCCAAGUCACUAUAUCACUCAAGAUAAACCUCUCCUUUUGAUCCGCUGAUUGUCGCAGGACUUCUAUUCAGUGGUAAGGAGGCACUUAGGACUCCUUAUGACGAGCUCCCUCAUUCCCGGUAUCCAUUUCAGUUCCCACAGGGACCUCUGUCGUUCUUGAACUCCAGGCCGUCUUUCCUCAGCGAGACACUUGUGCAGGGGUCUUUUUACACAUUCCUGGCUGUCCUGGAACUCAUUACAUAGACCAGAGUGGCCUCAGACUCACAGAAAGUCGCCUGCCUCUGCUUCCCGAGUGCUGGGAUUAAAGUUUUCAGCAAAGCAAAAAACCACACAUGCUGGUGUCGAGGACUACACAAGAGCGGCCCACUGAUUACAGCCUCAACGUUGUGGCAUGCUGGAAUGUUGCAGAUCCAGGGUCGAUUUCUCUCCGGCUAUGUUUAGUUCCCUGAAGAGCAGUCAUUGCUGGCUGCUGAGUCUGACCCAACAACACUUUGGAUUAAAUAAAACCUUUACAAUGUAUCAAUGGCUUCUGCCAACCCUGAAGCUGAGAACGUCCUGGGAGAGCAUCCAAAGCCCAUAGCAGAGACUCCUUCUUUGCUCGUCUGUAACCUGCCCACCUAGUUUUUCCACCAAUGGACUUGGGAAAUGCCUUGACUUGUGAUGUUCUUUUGUUCCGGGGGCAUAAAAGUUUGUGCAACUGCUUCUAUGUCAGGACAAGCUAGUUAGAGCAAUCGGAGUCUGCAUUCCUGAGCCACGGCCCCUCAUAUUGGGUCAGAGUUAAGCAUCCCGUUCUCCAAGGGGAUGAUAGGAUAGGGGCUCCUUCACAUUCUGUAUUGUGAAAACAGGC
Long non-coding RNA from Rattus norvegicus (Norway rat), 3320 nucleotides. Ensembl lists it as uncharacterized. The record is from Ensembl. NCBI's taxonomy places the organism in Eukaryota, Metazoa, Chordata, Mammalia, Rodentia, Muridae.